Molecule: ribosomal RNA, 253 nt
Filed under: uncultured bacterium
Lineage: Bacteria
Description: partial 16S ribosomal RNA
Rfam family: Bacterial small subunit ribosomal RNA
Source: RNAcentral
UACGUAGGGUGCGAGCGUUGUCCGGAUUUACUGGGCGUAAAGAGCGCGCAGGCGGUCGUUCAAGUCGCGUGUGAAAGCCCCCGGCUCAACUGGGGAGGGUCACGCGAUACUGAUCGACUCGAAGGCAGGAGAGGGUAGUGGAAUUCCCGGUGUAGUGGUGAAAUGCGUAGAUAUCGGGAGGAACACCAGUGGCGAAGGCGACUACCUGCCCUGUUCUUGACGCUGAGGCGCGAAAGCUAGGGGAGCAAACGGG